UACAGAGGGUGCAAGCGUUGUUCGGAAUUAUUGGGCGUAAAGGGCGCGUAGGCGGUGUGGUAAGUCUGAUGUGAAAACUCUAGGCUCAACCUGGAGAUUGCAUCAGAAACUGCCGUGCUAGAGUGCGGGAGAGGAGAGUGGAAUUCCUGGUGUAGCGGUGAAAUGCGUAGAUAUCAGGAGGAACACCGGUGGCGAAGGCGGCUCUCUGGACCGCAACUGACGCUGAGGCGCGAAAGCUAGGGGAGCAAACAGG
RNAcentral lists this ribosomal RNA (253 nucleotides) under uncultured bacterium. Its description in RNAcentral is "partial 16S ribosomal RNA". It matches the Rfam family "Bacterial small subunit ribosomal RNA", at positions 524 to 776 of the family's 1533-position model. The record is from RNAcentral.